CUUGCUUCUUGGCCUCUUGGCUAAGAUCAAGUAGAGUGUUCAUAUCGGUUUAAUAUCUGAUUUAUCCUCUGAGGACAAUAUAUUAAAUAGAUAUUUGCAGCAGGGAGAUGGAAUAGGAGUUUGCUCUGUCUACUCUGUGCUUCAACCUAGUAUCGAAGUACCUUCAGGAAUGGUGCACACCCA
This is a small nuclear RNA of Ictidomys tridecemlineatus (thirteen-lined ground squirrel), 183 nucleotides long. Its record names the gene U2. It matches the Rfam family "U2 spliceosomal RNA". Rfam says of the family: U2 is a small nuclear RNA (snRNA) component of the spliceosome (involved in pre-mRNA splicing). Complementary binding between U2 snRNA (in an area lying towards the 5' end but 3' to hairpin I) and the branchpoint sequence (BPS) of the intron results the bulging out of an unpaired adenosine, on the BPS, which initiates a nucleophilic attack at the intronic 5' splice site, thus starting the first of two transesterification reactions that mediate splicing. The record is from Ensembl. NCBI's taxonomy places the organism in Eukaryota, Metazoa, Chordata, Mammalia, Rodentia, Sciuridae.